Molecule: long non-coding RNA, 1488 nt
Filed under: Malus domestica (apple)
Lineage: Eukaryota; Viridiplantae; Streptophyta; Magnoliopsida; Rosales; Rosaceae
Description: long non-coding RNA (MDOM_LNC012885)
Source: RNAcentral
UUUAUAUUUUUGUAUUUUUAAUUAACUUAUAAUUUUACAUUUUUUUAUUUUUAAUUAUUUUUUAUUACUUUUUAUGAUUUUGUAAUAGUGACUAACGUCACCAUAACAUGACACACCCCGACUCGGAAUGUCAAUUAUGACUCCGAAUCGAGCUGUGAUGGCCAAAACCUAAAAGAUGACGAAGCUAUAAAGUGUAGUAAUGUGGAUUUGUGAAUAAACUUAAACCUAAAAGUGCCUAAAUAUAAGAAUGCGAUGUGAGCGGAAAUGAACUCAUUGCACACGUGAUUACAAAGCAUAAGUAAAUUACAGUAAGGUAAGAUGAGGGUUAUACCAUCAUAGGUGCCUAUACUGAGGUAUGCCAAGAAUCCUCUCGAUACGGAAGCUCAGCUACUAAAACCUGGAGGGACGAAAAAUAGAAGGGUGAGUGGGCAAAAACAAAGCGUUUGAAAAACAUAUUUAUCUUUAUGAACAUAAUAACCCAUCUCCGUAAAACCCGUAUAGUUUCCAGAAAAUACUAUUACGUAGGUAUGAAAACCAAUGCACAAGAGCAGUGAAAACUGAAGUAUGCCAUGUCAUAAUAUCUCAGCAAUAUAAAAUAGUAUGUCAGUCGGAGUCACCUAACGUGACCUGUACGACUAGACCUAUAGCUCAUCAAUCUAGGCUAACACACGAGUUGGAGUCACCGUGUGGCUUGUAUGACAGGAUGGGUAUAAAUAUGUAUGCUCAAGUGCUACGAUCACGUGAAGGUUGUGUGAUAAUUCACGGGUCACCUACGAGUCGGAACCACCUAUUGUGGUCUAUACGACAGGCUGGCACCAGACUUGGAUCCAAGUUGAGCGUACGGUGCAGGAGGUGAACAAUCACGUGAAUGUUAGCCCUAGCCCCGGGCAAGAGCACUAAUACCGGGUGCAGCCAUGAUGAGCUCUAAAUAAAUGUAUGCAUACCAAUGCAAUACAAACCCAUUCAAUCACAUAAUACUCACCUGAAGCUUGCCUGAGUCUCCGCAGCAUCACACAAUACAAUUCACAAGUGUAACAAUGCAAUAUUUAAAAUGUAACUUAUUUACAACAUGGCAAGCAAAGCAUAGUUCUAUAUAAAAACGUUUCUGGAAACUAUAUGUAAAUAUAUUAACAAUGCAAUAUUUAAAAUGUAACUUAUUUACGACAUGGCAAGCAAAGCAUAGUUCCAUAUAAAAACAUUUUUGGAAACUGUAUAUAAAUAUAUAUAUAUAUAUAUAUAUAGAAAACAAAUUCUCAUUCACAGUUCAUGCCCGAGUCGAACCCGCCUCAUAGCAUUGAGAGUCCUUGACACACCUCGACCGAGAUCAAGCCAUGCUGGCCGUCACGUGAGAGUGACGUAGCCAUGUGCACAGUGCGGAAGCGAUAACGAUAAGAAUUAUACGAAUAAUUAGAAACUGAAUUACUAGAGUGCACUACUAAACAGAAAGUGAUAGGAGUUAGUUAUAACAGUAAACACUCCUAAUCAGAG